UGAUGAUGAAAAUUUUUAAAAGACCAAUUGUCUAAGAAAAAAUUUAGAAAGACUAAAAUAAAAAAUUUGAGUAUUUAUAUAGAUCAAAAAUAUAUUUAACUCCAAUAUUAAUAAAUGUGAUAUUAAUGAUUAUUUUACAACCGUUGAACGAUGUGAAAUUUAAACUUCCUCCUUUGAUUAAUUGAAAGGAUGAAAUUUUUUUGAACAUAUUAAGGAAAUGAAAAAGAGCUGUUUCAUAAUCAUGGAAGAGGCAAAAAAAAAAAACAGCAACACUCUCUAGAUUAAUUCAACUAAAUAAUUUUUGAAUAAACUAUACCAAUAGUUUUAUGGAUGAGGUCGUGUACCCUCAAAGCAUUUCAUUCGAUUAAUCCAAUUGUUGAGACAUGAAAGAGUUGAUCUCUCAGCCGUUGGAUUGUAUGGGUUGGGAACUGGAGAGGAUUCUAGGUGGUAUUAUUAAUUUAUUACACGAGGCUAUAUGAGAUGUAUAUAGCUUUAAGACAAACCCCUUUUGUCACCUUGCAAUAAUUCUCCAAUCUUUACGAGGAUUUUCAAGACACUCUAUAAAAGGGUGACCACUUUCUAAGACAAACCUGGCGCUAUCCACCCACAGAUCUUGAAAUUCUAAUCAUCAGAUCACUUACACGAGCAGAUAAGGAUGGUUUGGAGACAAGGAUUACUUUUGAGUUUGAUUAAGGUCAUGUUUGGUGGAUAUAUAGUGGAAAAGUCUAUUAGAAAAAAAUCAUUCAUGUGCUUGUAAAAUUUUGCUCAGACGCUACUUUUCGCCAUCAAAGUUCUGUUUGCUAAAAAUAACAUAUUGUUGUUAAGUUGUUUAUAGAGGAUGGUCAGUUUAUAGCGGCUAACUUGUAAAUUAAUUUAUAAUUUAUAAUUUAAAAUAGCGGAUAAGUUAACUAAUCAUGCAAAACCCUCAUAUUAGGUGACAGAGUUCGAGCAUGCAAAGCCCCCACAUCUAGGGGUGUUCGUGGGUGGGUUUGGAUUGGGUUUGGUCAAACCCAAAACCAAACUAAAUAGGAUACUCCGGUU
This 1041-nucleotide long non-coding RNA is filed under the name Medicago truncatula (barrel medic). RNAcentral describes it as "long non-coding RNA (MTRU_LNC006049)". The record is from RNAcentral. Lineage: Eukaryota; Viridiplantae; Streptophyta; Magnoliopsida; Fabales; Fabaceae.